Molecule: long non-coding RNA, 440 nt
Filed under: Mytilus galloprovincialis (Mediterranean mussel)
Lineage: Eukaryota; Metazoa; Mollusca; Bivalvia; Mytilida; Mytilidae
Source: RNAcentral
AUGAGCCUUGGACAACAGUUAUGACUGCUUCCUUCAUAUAUAACUGAUUCAUAAACAACCUUACUUUUGGUGUCUAAGGGCUUCAUUUCUUUCCAUAAUCAAAAAAAUGUCCUACUCACUUUGAUAACAGCUAGGGGGUGGAUGUGGCUGAUGGAAUGCAGGGUUAAUUAUAUCCAAUUUUAUGGCUUCAGUAGAAUUACGGAAGGCUAACAUCCAUUAGUUAAGUCCCCCAGUGAAUAACCAUUAUGCUAAGCCCAAAUUUAGCAAAUGAUUCCUUAAUUUUAUGAACUAUGAGUGGUUAACCCUCAACUAAGGGACAAUUAACUUGAUCCGUCCACACUUAGGCAGCUAUAAGACCACAAACCAAUACAAGUAGAGUUCUGACAACAGUUUGAAUGCUAGGAAGUUUUAACUUUGCUGACUGUUUAUACAUAUAUCAA